Molecule: ribosomal RNA, 516 nt
Filed under: Faxonius maletae
Lineage: Eukaryota; Metazoa; Arthropoda; Malacostraca; Decapoda; Cambaridae
Description: Orconectes maletae partial 16S ribosomal RNA
Rfam family: Bacterial large subunit ribosomal RNA
Source: RNAcentral
AAAAACAUGUCUGUAUGAGAGAUUUAUAAAGUCUGACCUGCCCAUUGGAAAACUAAAAGGCCGCGGUAUUAUGACCGUGCAAAGGUAGCAUAAUCAUUAGUUUUUUAAUUGAAGGCUAGAAUGAAUGGUUGGACAAGAAAUAAUCUGUCUUAAACUAAGAUAUUGAAUUUAACUUUUGAGUGAAAAGGCUUAAAUGAUCUAAAGGGACGAUAAGACCCUAUAAAACUUUAUAUUUUAAAGUAGAAAAUAAUUUUAUUUAAAUGUUAUUAUUUUAAAAUAUUUUGUUGGGGCGACAAGGAUAUAAUAAUGGGUAACUGUCUUUUAUUUUUACAAUAAUAUUUGAUUUGUUGAUCCUAAAAGGGAUUAAAGAUUAAGUUACUUUAGGGAUAACAGCGUAAUUUUUUUUGAGAGUUCUUAUCGACAAAAAAGUUUGCGACCUCGAUGUUGAAUUAAAAAUUCUUUAUAGAGUAGAGACUAUAAAAGAAGGUCUGUUCGACCUUUAAAAUUUUACAUGAU